UACGUAGGGUGCAAGCGUUGUUCGGAUUUACUGGGCGUACAGGGAGCGUAGGCGGUUGGGUAAGCCCUUCGUGAAAUCUCCGGGCCUAACCCGGAAAGUGCGGAGGGGACUGCUCGGCUAGAGGAUGGGAGAGGAGCGCGGAAUUCCCGGUGUAGCGGUGAAAUGCGUAGAGAUCGGGAGGAAGGCCGGUGGCGAAGGCGGCGCUCUGGAACAUUUCUGACGCUGAGGCUCGAAAGCGUGGGGAGCAAACAGG
This 253-nucleotide ribosomal RNA is filed under the name uncultured bacterium. Its description in RNAcentral is "partial 16S ribosomal RNA". It matches the Rfam family "Bacterial small subunit ribosomal RNA", at positions 524 to 776 of the family's 1533-position model. The record is from RNAcentral.